GACGAACGCUGGCGGCGUGCUUAACACAUGCAAGUCGAACGGAAAGGCUCCAGCUUGCUGGAGUACUCGAGUGGCGAACGGGUGAGUAACACGUGGGUAAUCUGCCCUGCACUCUGGGAUAAGCCUGGGAAACUGGGUCUAAUACUGGAUAUGACCUUUCUCCUUAUGGGGUUUGGUGGAAAGUUUUUCGGUGUAGGAUGAGCCCGCGGCCUAUCAGCUUGUUGGUGGGGUGAUGGCCUACCAAGGCGACGACGGGUAGCCGGCCUGAGAGGGUGAUCGGCCACAUUGGGACUGAGAUACGGCCCAGACUCCUACGGGAGGCAGCAGUGGGGAAUAUUGCACAGUGGGCGGAAGCCUGAUGCAGCGACGCCGCGUGAGGGAUGACGGCCUUCGGGUUGUAAACCUCUUUCAGCAGGGACGAAGCGUAAGUGACGGUACCUGCAGAAGAAGCACCGGCUAACUACGUG
This 467-nucleotide ribosomal RNA is filed under the name uncultured bacterium. Its description in RNAcentral is "partial 16S ribosomal RNA". It matches the Rfam family "Bacterial small subunit ribosomal RNA", at positions 28 to 507 of the family's 1533-position model. The record is from RNAcentral.